GCGCGGGUGGCGGAAUUGGCAGACGCGCCAGACUUAGGAUCUGGUGGAGCAAUCCUUAGGGGUUCGAGUCCCCUCCCGCGCACUA
Molecule: transfer RNA, 85 nt
Filed under: Lentisphaerae bacterium GWF2_50_93
Lineage: Bacteria; Pseudomonadati; Lentisphaerota
Also listed under: 1 other name
Description: tRNA-Leu
Rfam family: tRNA
About the family: Transfer RNA (tRNA) molecules are approximately 80 nucleotides in length.
Source: RNAcentral